UGAAAUCUGCAUAUGUCUCUUCAAACAUCAAUCUUCAAACAACGACCAUAUUUCUCUUCAAAUAUCUAUGGUUUUUAAUGAAAUCUGCAACAUAGGCUUGGUUUUAGGUUUGUGAUUAUCAUCAACAAAUGAACACAAGACUGAAAAACUAAUCUUGAAAUUAUUAGAGCAUAUUAUGAGGUCAUAAUACACCUUCCCC
Molecule: long non-coding RNA, 199 nt
Filed under: Olea europaea (common olive)
Lineage: Eukaryota; Viridiplantae; Streptophyta; Magnoliopsida; Lamiales; Oleaceae
Description: long non-coding RNA (OEUR_LNC011228)
Source: RNAcentral